GUGAGGAAUAUUGGACAAUGGGCGAGAGCCUGAUCCAGCCAUGCCGCGUGCAGGAAGACGGCCCUAUGGGUUGUAAACUGCUUUUACAGAGGAAGAAACACUCCCUUGCGAGGGAGCUUGACGGUACUCUGCGAAUAAGGAUCGGCUAACUCCGUGCCAGCAGCCGCGGUAAUACGGAGGAUCCAAGCGUUAUCCGGAAUCAUUGGGUUUAAAGGGUCCGUAGGCGGGAUAAUCAGUCAGUGGUGAAAGUCUGCAGCUCAACUGUAGAAUUGCCAUUGAUACUGUUAUCCUUGAGUUAUUAUGAAGUGGUUAGAAUGAGUAGUGUAGCGGUGAAAUGCAUAGAUAUUACUCAGAAUACCGAUUGCGAAGGCAGAUCACUAAUAAUACACUGACGCUGAUGGACGAAAGCGUAGGUAGCGAACAGGAUUAGAAACCCUAGUAGUCC
RNAcentral lists this ribosomal RNA (445 nucleotides) under uncultured bacterium. Its description in RNAcentral is "bacterial SSU rRNA". It matches the Rfam family "Bacterial small subunit ribosomal RNA", at positions 354 to 796 of the family's 1533-position model. The record is from RNAcentral.